This 251-nucleotide ribosomal RNA is filed under the name uncultured prokaryote. RNAcentral's name for it is "partial 16S ribosomal RNA". It matches the Rfam family "Bacterial small subunit ribosomal RNA", at positions 524 to 774 of the family's 1533-position model. The record is from RNAcentral.
UACGAAGGGGGCAAGCGUUGUUCGGAAUUACUGGGCGUAAAGGGCGCGUAGGCGGCUUGCCAAGUCAGGCGUGAAAUUCCCGGGCUCAACCUGGGGGCUGCGCUUGAUACUGGCUGGCUUGAAUGCGGGAGAGGAUAGUGGAAUUCCCAGUGUAGAGGUGAAAUUCGUAGAUAUUGGGAAGAACACCAGUGGCGAAGGCGGCUAUCUGGCCCGUGAUUGACGCUGAGGCGCGAAGGCGUGGGGAGCAAACG